Molecule: RNA transcript, 3053 nt
Organism: Magnolia sinica
Lineage: Eukaryota; Viridiplantae; Streptophyta; Magnoliopsida; Magnoliales; Magnoliaceae
Exons: 9
Source: RefSeq, a predicted model, not a curated record
UAUAUAUAUAUCAAUGUAAUGAUACAACAACAGUCUUAGGAAUACAAGUCAAACUGAGUUACAUUCUGGUGAAGUUACUUAUUUCCAUUGAAGCCAUUUGUUUUAGCCUCAUCUUUUACGGUAGAAUUUAUGUCAUGAGGUUAAGGCAUUUUCUUAAUUUUCUUAAUAGUUCAGAGAUAUAGCAAUUCUAGCUGCAGUUCUACCAUUACUAUAAGGGUGCGUUUGGACAUACACCCCAAGUUGCAGGUGGAAAUGAUUUUUGGCUGAAUGGCUGGCAGUUCAUUUUGCUGCACCAUAUGGGUGGCAAGAAAACAGGACCACAUGAAUACCAGUUUUGUGUUUUCUACCUCAACCAAUAUAUAGGGUGUGUCAGGUGCAACAAGCAUUGUUCUGGAUUUUGAUUUUGGGAGAAACAAUCCUGCCAGCUCAACAGAGUGAUGUAGGCCCAUUGCCUACCAUGGGGUGAAACUUGCGCUGAAUUUUGGGCUGUUUGCUACAUGUUUUGGGUGUUAAAUGUCAGAGGCUACCAUUUACUAAUUUUGGAAGAUGAGGGGCCGAUUUGAAGAUAUGAUUGUCAAUUCUUUGUAUAUUUUGCAGAUUAUUUUCUGGAUAUACUAUUUUUCUUUAUCUCAAACCAGAUAAAGAAAAAUUUUAUAUUUUUAAUUAUAUAUUACAAUUUUAGGUCGUGCGAAAAAUUUCCUAUUAACUAAAUUAUGUAUUUCAAGGUUAUUUUCUCCAUCAACGCAAGGCAGAGAUGACAGAUUCCCUGAGAAAGAAUGUUUCUUGUUGCUUGCUUUAUGCAGGUUCAUAUGUAUGUAGAUUCUCAGGAAAAGGUUAUAGCUCAGUAUCAGCGGAAAUGGUAAGAAGGCAAGCUUUAUUUCUAGGUGACUCAGAGCUGCAGCAACUGCUUCACAUCUUCAGGUGUGGAUAUAUUGGUUGGCGUCACUGAUUUCCUUUUUGUGUGAUUCUUCCAAAGAAAAUUAUUGUUGACUUUUUCCUUUAUCACAAGAUGAUUGAUUAACAUGGUGUGUAGAACAGACUUCUUUGUACUUUGUAUGCAAUGAUGUUUUUUUUUUUUUUCUUUUUCUUUUUAUAAUGUUCACUUCCUGGAUUCAAUCUCUACCUGAAAAUUUUCCUUGUCUGGUGCUACUUCCUGUCAGUUUUUGUAGCCAAAAAGCAUUAUACAGAUGAUUUGCCUUGCUUUCUCAAGACCAUAAAAAAUAGAUGGCAGAUGUUUCAAUCCAAAUUUCAGGCUGGAGAUAUUUGUUUAGCUGUCUAAUGCAAGUGCUCAGGUCCUAGCCUCUGUUUGAGCAGUUAUGUCAGAGGACUUGGUGUUGCUUUUCCAAUCGAUGCUCAUGCUUGGAAUUAGUAUUGGACUUGCUUUCAAUGUGGUUUUGCUUUCAACUGAUAAAAGAUCAGGACUAAUGGAUAGGUUAGGUUGUUCACACCCUCGACCUUUAUGGGCAUGGUGCAUUAACGUGGGAAAGCGAUUCAACAUGGUUUUGGGAAUCACCCAGGGGCUUCUUUGUCUUCACCAAGAUUCUAUAUUUCUUUUCACAUAAAUUUCUAAUGAAAUGUUUCAGCUUAAGAUCAUAGUUAAAUUUUUACCAGUGCUGCUACUAAUAUUUGUGGAUUCUACAGUUUGUAUAUGAAUAUCCAUAUUAGCCUUUGUGGAAAAAUUUGUAUGUAGGUCUUUAUGCUUGUAAUCAUUCCAUUGAAUGGCCCAUUCAUAAAUUUGUCCCUGUAUCUUCUAUUUUAACUGCCUGAUGUAGCAUGUAUAACUAUUGACAUGACCAUGAUAAGGCUGAUAAUUGAUUUUUGGUAAUUGUAAUGAUGGUAAUCAAUAGAUAAAUGGUACAUAUUACUGGGCUAUGGGCCCCACUUGUCAUUGUUGAAUACCUGUGUAUACUGUUAAGAGACGCCCAUUACGUAUGUAGGGAGUUAUUUGAUACUCUGGCAGCAUAUGACUUUUUUACUAAAAGUAUGUCUCUAAUCAUUCCAUCAAAAUUAUGUUCCGCUCAUGCAUUUACUAAAAGUAAAUGAGGCUAAUCUUUUCAAAUGAAUUCUUUUUGUCUCGUGACAGUAGACGUGGGUCCACAAGCACCAAGCAUCUUUUAAAAGGUAAGCUUCGGAUAAUUAAGGCAGCAAAAAAUGGUUCAUGCUUUCUUGAAGUAUGGAUGUUUGGGCAGUCCCAAACAUAGACACCUGCUGAAGAUGUUAAACCAAUGUACCUACAAUAUGUGAAGCUGGAAGAAGAUUAUGGGCUUGCAAAGCGUGCAAUGAAAGUCUAUGAGCAAGCUAUGAAGGCUGUCCCUGAAAAUGAAAAAAUGAACAUGUAUGAAAUUUACAUAGCACGUUCAACUGAAACUUUUGGUGUCCCAAGUACGAGGGAAAUAUACAAGGUGUAUUUGGGUGGACAAUACAUAAACAAUCCUACACUGUCAGAUGUUACGUUUCUAGUUGAAGGUUGUAAAUCAUUCUUGACUGAAUCAAUUUGGUAGUCUAUAUGCUCUCAUUCUUUGGGGCUUUAGAUAGAAAUGUUGGAAUUAUAAUUUGCCUACUAGAAAGUCCCAAAAUUUAUAUGGUGAAAAAAGGGCAUUCUCCGUGCAAUGUUUGACGGUUGUUAUCAGGUGAGUCCAGCCAUAUUUUCACAUUCAACACAUGGUACACCAGUACAUUGUCAUACAUCUUCACGCAAGGUGAUUUGCAGGCUUUCUAGUCAAUAGCAUUUCCACCUACAAAGCCAUGGCAUGGUUUCUUGGAAACAACAGCUUGUCCGAUACACUGCCAUUCCAAAAAAGCUAUAAACUUCUUAAUGUGUUUUAGGCAUGGAUGAAUGGGAGCUAGAUCGAUGGAUUUUAUUUAUUUAUUUAUUUAUUUUUUGAAACUAUUCAAUUUAUUAUUGUAAAUAUUAUUUGCGGCAGCUCUAGUAGAGUAGAGAAGGGAAAUGGCUACAACAUCGAACAAAGAAGCCUCCAUCUACUUGCUUAUAAGUUGCUUUGUAAGCCAUAGCCCAUCCUACCAAUGCAACAACCAUUUUUUUUUGGCUUGCA